Molecule: ribosomal RNA, 406 nt
Filed under: uncultured bacterium
Lineage: Bacteria
Description: bacterial SSU rRNA
Rfam family: Bacterial small subunit ribosomal RNA
Source: RNAcentral
GUGGGGAAUAUUGCACAAUGGGGGAAACCCUGAUGCAGCGACGCCGCGUGAGCGAAGAAGUAUUUCGGUAUGUAAAGCUCUAUCAGCAGGGAAGAAAAUGACGGUACCUGACUAAGAAGCACCGGCUAAAUACGUGCCAGCAGCCGCGGUAAUACGUAUGGUGCAAGCGUUAUCCGGAUUUACUGGGUGUAAAGGGAGCGUAGACGGAUGGGCAAGUCUGAUGUGAAAACCCGGGGCUCAACCCCGGGACUGCAUUGGAAACUGUUCAUCUAGAGUGCUGGAGAGGUAAGUGGAAUUCCUAGUGUAGCGGUGAAAUGCGUAGAUAUUAGGAGGAACACCAGUGGCGAAGGCGGCUUACUGGACAGUAACUGACGUUGAGGCUCGAAAGCGUGGGGAGCAAACAGGA